This 451-nucleotide ribosomal RNA is filed under the name uncultured bacterium. RNAcentral describes it as "bacterial SSU rRNA". It matches the Rfam family "Bacterial small subunit ribosomal RNA", at positions 64 to 507 of the family's 1533-position model. The record is from RNAcentral.
GAGCGGUAACAGGUGUAGCAAUACAUGCUGACGAGCGGCGAACGGGUGAGUAAUGCUUCGGAAUCUGCCCAAUGGUGGGGAAUAACCAGCCGAAAGGUUGGCUAAUACCGCAUGAGCCCUACGGGGGAAAGCAGGGGAUCGCAAGACCUUGCGCCGAUGGAUGAGCCGAAGCCGGAUUAGCUAGUUGGUAGGGUAACGGCCUACCAAGGCGACGAUCCGUAGCUGGUCUGAGAGGACGACCAGCCACACUGGGACUGAGACACGGCCCAGACUCCUACGGGAGGCAGCAGUGGGGAAUAUUGGACAAUGGGGGAAACCCUGAUCCAGCGACGCCGCGUGUGUGAAGAAGGCCUGCGGGUUGUAAAGCACUUUUAGUGGGGAUGAAAAGCUCANGGGCUAACACCUCUGGGUCUUGACCUAACCCACAGAAAAAGCACCGGCUAACUCUGUG